GAGAAAGCUACCAAAGGGCAUACGGUGAAUGUCUUGGCGUCCAGAGGCGAUGAAGGACGUUGGAACCUGCGAUAAGCCUCGGGGAGCCGGUAACCAGGCUGUGAUCCGAGGAUCUCCGAAUGGGGAAACCCGGCCCGUCAGGGUCAUCCAUAUCUGAAUGCAUAGGGUAUGGAAGCAAACCCGGUGAACUGAAACAUCUCAGUAACCGGAGGAAAGGAAAGCAAAAUGCGACUCCGUCAGUAGCGGCGAGCGAAAGCGGAUCAACCAGUAGCUGCGUGAACGACCUGGAAAGGUCGACCACAGAAGGUGAUAGUCCUGUACUGCAGUAGCUGGCCAGCCCUAGAGUAGCGCGGUGCUCGUGAAACUCCGCGUGAACAUGGGGGGUCCACCCUCCAAGGCUAAGUACUCCUGGACGACCGAUAGCGAAUCAGUAAGGUGACUGAACGAUGAAAAGCACCCCGAUAAGGGGAGUGAAAAGUACCUGAAACCGUGUGCUUACAAGCUGUGGGAGCCCGCCUAGGCGGGUGACCGCGUGCCUUUUGCAUAAUGAGCCUGCGAGUUACUCUCUGUGGCAAGGUUAAGUCGAAUCACGACGGAGCCGAAGGGAAACCGAGUCCGAAAUGGGCGUCGAGUCGCAGGGGGUAGACGCGAAACCUGGUGAUCUACCCAUGGGCAGGUUGAAGGAGGGGUAAAACCUUCUGGAGGACCGAACACACCUACGUUGAAAAGUGGGGUGAUGACCUGUGGGGAGGAGUUAAAGUCUAAUCAAACCAGGAGAUAUCUCGUUCUCUCCGAAAUAGCUUUAGGGCUAGCCUCGCGUUACAGCGUUUGGGGGUAGAGCUACUGGAUGGGGCUGGGGGGCUCACCGCCUACCCACUCCAACCAAACUCCGAAUACCAAACGCCUUUGUCGCGGGAGUCAGUCUGUGGGAGAUAAUUUCCACGGUCGAAAGGGAAACAGCCCAGACCGCCAGUUAAGGUCCCUGAUCGAACCUCAGUUUCUAAGGAAGUCGAAUUGCUGAGACAGCCAGGAUG
Molecule: ribosomal RNA, 1034 nt
Filed under: Phycisphaerales bacterium
Lineage: Bacteria; Pseudomonadati; Planctomycetota; Phycisphaerae; Phycisphaerales
Description: partial 23S ribosomal RNA
Rfam family: Bacterial large subunit ribosomal RNA
Source: RNAcentral